UCAUCCAUGUACUGUGGCAUGUAUACAUACGACAAUAUGUAUAGUAGCAGUACAUAUACUCUGGCCAAAUGCCAAUGAUCCUCUAGCAUGGUAAAAUCCCCUGAGUGCCGUGUAUAGCUAUCCUCUGAGCCAAAUUUGUCCAUUAGAAAAUGCUGGGAUAUCUCAUGGCUGGAUGUGAUCUCAUCCUGCACAACCCUACGCCUCAGCCCAAUUAGG
Molecule: long non-coding RNA, 216 nt
Filed under: Panax ginseng (ginseng)
Lineage: Eukaryota; Viridiplantae; Streptophyta; Magnoliopsida; Apiales; Araliaceae
Description: long non-coding RNA (PGIN_LNC000527)
Source: RNAcentral